This 280-nucleotide ribosomal RNA is filed under the name uncultured Glomus. Its description in RNAcentral is "partial 18S small subunit ribosomal RNA". It matches the Rfam family "Eukaryotic small subunit ribosomal RNA", at positions 591 to 876 of the family's 1831-position model. Lineage: Eukaryota; Fungi; Glomeromycota; Glomeromycetes; Glomerales; Glomeraceae. The record is from RNAcentral.
CCAAUAGCGUAUAUUAAAGUUGUUGCAGUUAAAAAGCUCGUAGUUGAAUUUCGAGACCGGUCUACUGGUCGUGCUUUUGUACGUACUGGUUUUAUUGGUUUCUCCUUUCUGACGAACUAUAAUGCCAUUAAUUUGGUGUUAUAGGGAAUCAGGACUGUUACUUUGAAAAAAUUAGAGUGUUUAAAGCAGGCUCACGCUUGAAUACAUUAGCAUGGAAUAACGGAAUAGGACGUUUGAUUUUAUUUUGUUGGUUUCUAGGAUCGACGUAAUGAUUAAUAGG